RNAcentral lists this long non-coding RNA (369 nucleotides) under Lupinus angustifolius (narrow-leaved blue lupine). Its description in RNAcentral is "long non-coding RNA (LANG_LNC000038)". Lineage: Eukaryota; Viridiplantae; Streptophyta; Magnoliopsida; Fabales; Fabaceae. The record is from RNAcentral.
GCUCAUCGGCAACUGGCCAUGAGGCUCUAUUGCUCGAUUCUAGUUUAUGUUGACGGAGUUCGAAUAAUAACUAGGCUUGUUGUUGGAUGAUUUGUCCUUGAUUUUGGAUCAUUUGGAGGAGUUGUUGAGUUGUCGGCGGUUCUAGGAUAAGAGGGUGGCUUUGGCCGGCUUGUUGGGAUAGUUGUAUUUGUGCUUGAGGGUCAUUGGAUGGAGUGUGGUGGUUGAGAGGCAUGUUUGUGAUAAUUGGUUCUGUUUGACUGAGAGGGUGUGUUUGGUUUCGAGUAGUCACAAUGAUAUAGGUAAGCCAUACACGACGUCAAUGUUCUUUAUUGCUGAUCGAAUAUGGUCGGAAUUAGGAAACCGAUUGAG